UAGGGAAUCUUCCACAAUGGACGCAAGUCUGAUGGAGCAACGCCGCGUGAGUGAAGAAGGUCUUCGGAUCGUAAAACUCUGUUGUUAUAGAAGAACACGAGUGAGAGUAACUGUUCAUUCGAUGACGGUAUCUAACCAGCAAGUCACGGCUAACUACGUGCCAG
Molecule: ribosomal RNA, 164 nt
Filed under: uncultured bacterium
Lineage: Bacteria
Description: partial 16S rRNA
Rfam family: Bacterial small subunit ribosomal RNA
Source: RNAcentral